ACCGUCUUUUGUCAACGAAUUUGUGGCUAGGAGAUAGGGAGGGUUUCUUGAGAAGGUGUUUGUUGACACUUUUGGUGACUCAAUUGGUUAUUAACUGCAUAAAAAAGUUAGGGAUCAAUCCCGACCCCCAAACAAAAUUUUUAGUUAAAACUACACAUAAAUUUUAAAAGCAUUGAUAGUAAUAAGCCCACCUAAUUGCAUUUCCAUUGGACCAGCGAUGGAUUGAUUUGAAUAGAAGAUUUCGAGCAUAAUUGGAUUGAUUGGACUAAGCUGGUACAAAUUAAAAUUUUGGCCAAGUUCAUUAAUAAUUUAAUAUGGCCAACAUUUUGCGUAUGAUAUGCAAGGAGGUUGUAGGUCGGCAUAUAUUGAAACCUAGGACCUUAAUAUCCUAAACUACAACAUCUGAAUUCUGGUGGGACGUAAAAUUUGGGGUAUUACACUGGGAGGGAAAAAAGUUUCUCUAAUUAGGCUGAAGCGUUUGGGUAUCGACACGUUAAAAUUAGGUCGAGGCGUGUGGGUAUCGACAUGUUAAAAUAAGGAACAUCAUUUUAUCAGCCCAUCUACUGACAUGUGGGGCAUCUACUGACAUGUGGGGCGACCCUUAGUGAAGUUUUGGAGCUCCUACGUUGUGGGGAGUUUCCGAGCUCCUACGUUGUGGUGAGGUACGCAUUAACCACCAAAGAUCCACAACUCGAGAAGAGGCUCAACAUACGUGGUUCAAGAUUGAGAGCAAAGGGUCUUCACGUUCUCCACACGCAAAAAAGCCAGAGGAGAAAAACAAAAGAAAAGAGAGGGAAAGAAAGACCCACUUCCGUUGCUGCAACAUCCACGAUUCGCACAGAGAGAACAAGUAACAACAGUGAUAUUCUUGCAGUUCUCGGACGUGUCUUGCAUCUUCACAUCCGCACACCUCGUCGCUCCAUACGCCAGACCGGCAAGUCUCCGAGCAUUCCUUAGCAACGCUGGCGGCAAGCCUCAACGCACCAGUGAUCGUUGACCCACCUGCACCUACUGGCCACGUCAGUGUCCUGUGUCCUCGCCGGUCACGCCCAGUAGCUGUUCCCUCUCAACUCCAGUCCACGACCUGCGAUACUCAACAUAAAUUGGCAAAGUAAAUAUUCUUACAAUUAUUAUUAUUAUUAUUAUUAUUAUUAUUAUUAUUAUUAUUAUUAUUAUUAUUAUUUACAUCAUUACUACUGUCAAUAGUACAUGUUGUUCCAAAAAUGUUAACCAGAACUUAGAGGUUAGCAGAAAUCCAAAUGAAUUAAUAAAUUCACAAAAUAACUAUAAGACUUCCUCUGAGUGUUAUAUAUGGAUCACCAAAAAUGUCUCAACAAUGCAUACUCAAUACAAAAUAUGUAAUCAAUUUAAUUAUGCAAUAAAAUACUAUUUAAUAAUUAUAUCAAAAGCUAUGCAUGAAAAAUUCAAUCAUUGCAAAAGAGACAUUAUAAUCUUUAACCCAUAAAUUUGUGACUAUUAUAAAUUGUAAACCUCUUUGGUUGUUUCAAACAUAAGUGUGAAACUAAUAAAUUCAGGAAUAAAAUCACGACAAUUUUGACAAGAAAAAUGUUUGGACUAAAACUUUAGUAGUCAUAAAUAUAAUGCCAACAAUGUUUUACACAUGUAAAACUCAAAGUAGACUUUAACUCUUUUAAGCAACAUUUAAAUGACUAAAAUGUGAAAUAUAAAUAUAUCACAAAAGGCAGGAUGCAAAAGGCAUACUCACUAAAUUGUUGAUUGCGCUAAUUUAGUCAUAAAAGUAAUUAAUGACAAAUAUUGGGGUGCAUCAUUAGUCAAUUGAAUAGUUGUCGCCCAAUUAUUCUCUCAACUUGUACUUGCUAAAUUGGGUCUCCAUUCCCCUUCCAUCAAGCAUAAUUCCACAUCGUCAAGAAGGCAAGAAUCUACCACAAUUCUAAUACUAGAGAAGUUCUAUAUGUGCUUGAACAAGAGAGAAUUAUCAUAUCUUCAUGUAUUUAUCAAACAUACACAUUGUCAUGCAGCAAAUACCAACACAUGUAUGAGCAUAUACAUAGAUAGAGGCCCAUGCUGCACUCCCAAGCAAGCAUGAAUAAAGAUAUGCCACCAAAUACCAACACAAGCUCGUGUCUACACUUACUUAAGCAUAUUGGCAUGGACAUCACCAAUCGACUAAUGAUUGUAUGCACUCUAGCAUAUUCCCAAGAAUGAUGGGACAACACUAUGAGGAAUACUAGAGAAUUUUGUUCCAAAGUCAAAUGACACCUAUUUUCAAAAUUUAUAAGCAUAAUAAUGUAAGGUAAAAAGAGCGUAAUUCUAGUGGUAAAACAUAGAAAUCCCACAUGACAGCAUCCAUUGUUUCGCUGAAAAUACUUAUAUAUAACCUAGUCCGACAUGGGCAAGCUCGAUAAGAUUUUGUAGAGGUGGAGGCAAAGACAAGUUAAAUAGCAAAUAAAAACAGUUAUAAACUGGCUUCAUAAAUGUACAUUAAACAAAUUUUAGCAUGAGAAUAGGAAGAAUUAAGGACAAAUAGAAACUAUUUUGAGUAAUAGCGAAGUGCCCCAAUUUCCAAUCCUAAAUGGAUGAUUAUUAAAAUAAUCACGAACUUGAGAGAGAAAACGCCUACACACAUCCAACUUUCUAUUGGAAAAAAAAGUAUAGGUAUUGAAGUCCCAAAAUAAAAAUAAAUAUAUAAAAGAAAUAUUAGCCCAAUUUCUUUCCAUUUCUUUUAUGGUUUUCCUUUUCUAUUUCUUUCUAAGUAGCCACAUGGAAUCACUAUGCCAUUUUUAAAGAUUUUCUAAAUAGGUAAUUUUGAAAAUCUGUAAGCCUCUUCCGUAAAAGUAUAAGAGCACACAUUCAUGGAAUAUGUCUAACAAGAUCAAAUCAAAUCUAAAGAGAACACACAAGCUCGUGACGCCAAAUUUCAAAUGUUAGAAUGAAAGGAUCUCGACCUAUGUGAUGAUGAUUUCUCAAAAUGUGGAAACAACGCGCCAAAAUGGCAAUUACGCCCUUCAAGCAUUAAUUUAGAGUUUCCAAAAAACAACUUUACUUGAAACUCAAUGACCUUACCAGAACAACCAAAAGCUAUUUUGUGUUAAUGCUUGAUACCGUCCCAUGAUGAACCACCCAAGAAUAUGUGAUUCUUGCCCUUCACCAUCUUCAAAUCCUUGUUCAAUUCCAAGGUCGGUGGAAGCACCAUCAAUUCCAAUUUUGAAAGCUAUAAGGCAAUUAUCCUUAAGAUCGUUGGAAAAAGUAUUAGAAUACAUAAAAUAAUAAUAAUUAUUGGAAAUACAUUACAAAAGAUUAGAAAAUAAAAGAAAUGUAUGAGGCAUGCAAACACUAUCCUUAAGGAUAAUUCCAUCCCUCGAAGUAAGAAACUCGGUUCGUAAGGCUUCAACGGCUAUCCUCCCAAGAUAC
RNAcentral lists this long non-coding RNA (3393 nucleotides) under Eucalyptus grandis. RNAcentral's name for it is "long non-coding RNA (EGRA_LNC003071)". Lineage: Eukaryota; Viridiplantae; Streptophyta; Magnoliopsida; Myrtales; Myrtaceae. The record is from RNAcentral.